This is a long non-coding RNA of Eptatretus burgeri (inshore hagfish), 2743 nucleotides long. NCBI's taxonomy places the organism in Eukaryota, Metazoa, Chordata, Myxini, Myxiniformes, Myxinidae. The record is from Ensembl.
GCCGAGAUUAGGGUCGGGUCAAGGCGAGCCCUGGGAACCCAAAUAUGGGAAAAAUAACAGGAAACUCGACGCUCCAGAGGGGAACUUGGACAACAAAACCGGUGCCUUUCAGCACAUGCUGGGCCGGGGAAAGGACAGUCGGACAAUGGAUCUGAUCGAGUGUGUUCCAAUUUGAAAGAAACCCUGAACCACAGCAAUGCCGGGAGAGAGGGCAUGAUGUUCAUCCUGAAGACGUAUCGAGAGAUCGAAUGAAGAUUCCACUACUCCGGCUCUGUGUUGUACAAGGAUGUGCCCCGUUUUUGUCUUCUGCUUAUUUUGCCUGAAUCGUGGGACUUUGGGUAUGAUCGACAAUGGAACAGGCAAUGAUGGUGGAUCUAUGGAAUCAUGGACAGAUUCUUCUCAAGAAGAAAGGAGGUCAGCGGUGACUGUUAUGAUGAGCAGUUUGAAACAAAGAGCGAACGGUCAUCCACACACAGAAGAUGCAUCACAACCGACGGAAGUUAUGAAAAUGGCAGAUUCGACAGGCAACGGAUGGUUUACAGCAACACAGAUGAUGAGCAAAACGAGUGCUGUAAAAGAACACGAUGUGGACAAGGUUCGAUCGUUCACAAAAUCAGAACAUAUAAAGUCGCAUCACUUGAACGAAGAACGUCAAAGAGAAGAAUACCGAUCAUUUUUUGUGACUAAUGCAAAUAGCAUCAAUGUCCAAAUGUCACCUGUGCCAAAACAUUUCCAAGAACACUCGAAAACAAAAGGAAGAGCACCAAAAUAUUCUCGUUCAAAAGACUUGAAAGACAUGUUGGGACGAACCAAAGCCAUACCUGAUACAUCAACAAUAACAAAGACCACAAGGUUUUCAACAACAAAAAUAACCACUCGAGUGAUAGGCAAGAGACAUGAGCUUGAAACAAUAGCGCUGAACACGAGACACCCCAACAAUAUCGAAAUGGAUAUCAAAGGGAGAAAACUUGGAUCAAUAUCUCCUCAACUCAUUGAGAUAUCAAACAAACAAGCAAGUAGUCAAAAAGAAUUAUUGGAAACAUUACGACGGAGAACAUCGAUGACGACGACAGACCCUUUGGCUGAGCAGUUAUUGCACUCAAUUACGUCCAAAUCUUCAGAGAGGACGAUUUCUCCACGAAGCAACCGAGAGCUCCCAACCACAAAUAUACUUCCAGCAAUUCAUUACACCCUAACAGUGCGGGAAAUGCAAGGUUCCUCUGAGAAAACAACCAGAAAGAUUCAGACCGAGGUGCUAUGGAGGGAAGAAAGGCCCAUUGCUGACACACCUUCAGAAAUCACAGAUAUGCCACAGACGCUGCUCAUUGAGAAAGCAGAUUCAAAAUGGAGGACGACUUCAGAUGUGGCUCGGGUCUUCGCUGGCAACACUGAGUUCACCAAUCUGCAAUUACCAUCAAAGGGUCAUCCACAUGGCAAAGAGAAGGAUAGAGAGUUGUUUGUGGGGAAAGAUGUCCCACCACUGCCUUCUUCCUCAUAUGAAUCUUCCAUGCUGUUACCAAGUGAUGAGGGAAGUACAGUUAAAACAGAAAGAAACAUGAUAACAGUUUCUAUGGAGAACAUCAACAGACCUGUAGUUACGGUAUCUGUGAUUGAACAGGGGGGUUUAGGAAAAACUUUGACUCAGCCUUCAUACUUCUCAUCAAAUGGGGUUAGUUUGUUGACCAAUGAAUGGAGGUUUCAAACAAGGCCCUCCUCAAAUUCUGAGAUUUUUCAAGCGCCUACAAAACCAUCAUUAUCAAACAAACUUCGGGGAAUAAGUACACUGAUGGGGAACAACGUGUCUAACGUUUCACAUCACAAGAUAAUGAGGAAAACAAGCACAUUAAAGGUGAGUAGACCUACAAAAGCAGAGGUAAUAUCUCGUCGAAUAGCACCCGCAACUUCUACAAGGUUUACAGCAAGUUAUUCAAAUUUUAUUACAAUGGAUAAAAGCAGGAAUGUAACAGUUCCAUCUCCUGUUAUAAAGUCACUGGAUAGUUUAUUUGUGGAAGGCGGCUUUACAACGCCGAUGAAACUUAGUGAAGAGCCAUCCACCUUAAAACCUUCACCACUGUCGCCUGCCACCAAGGUGGAUGUGACUUACGGUGGUGCUGGAUCAUCAGUUGAUGUUUCCAGAUGGAUGAAAAAAAUAUCAUAUGAUGGAACCUCUGCACCACGCAAAAGUGUUUCAGAGAACGAUGGAAACAUCAACAUGAAUGCGUUAUUUUCUUCAGCCACCGACAUUCCCUUGAUAGCUCCUUUAUCUGUAGCUUUGAUGGAAUCUCAAAGCAUUAUUCCAACCGAUUCAACAAUUUCUCAAAAAACCCGAAAGAAAGUUCCUUUAGAGAAGCCGCUGGAACAUGACAAACCAGUAAUAGAGAUGGUAUCAAGAACCACCUCGACAGUAAGUCAGUCACAAGCAUAUUCCCACUCGGACAGCUUUGUACAGACCCCUGAUCCAGGCAGAGUAGUAGCUGAGGUAAUGACUUCUUUCAGGAAUGUGACUCAGGCAAUGUCUGCUGUAUAUCCUGAUCAAGACAUGAAGACAGCAGUAAAACCAAAUGAUCUUCCAUCCUCCAUCGCUUCUCCAGUAACAACUCUGAAUGGUAAGAUGGACAUUUUCCGUUUUGUUUUGGAAAAUAUAAUUGUCAUUUGAUUCGACCGUAUCACGUAUUGUCAGCAAUUUAAACAUUUACGAUGGCUGCCACACCACCACAACUCAAUUGAAACAAAGCAUGGGGGG